AUUGAGUGCAUCAUUCACGUU
This 21-nucleotide non-coding RNA is filed under the name Arabidopsis thaliana (thale cress). The record is from RNAcentral. Lineage: Eukaryota; Viridiplantae; Streptophyta; Magnoliopsida; Brassicales; Brassicaceae.